UCACCUAAUUGUCAACAAUCAACAAUCAAAGAGCUGAUAGCUCUGAAGUGGAAGAAGGUGAAUAAAAGGUAACUUGAAUUACCAUAAAAGCAGCCCCACUUACCCAGGCUGCUUUGUUCCAUUAUCGUUAAAAUGUAUUUUUUUUCUUCAAACAAGAAAAGGUCAUAAGUACAUGGAUUUCCCAUCCGUACAAUCAUUUUCUAUGUUCAGUCGACUAUGAAAAUUAGGUAAAAUCUUUAAUUUGGCAGUAAUUAAGAAGAUCAUAUCAUUGACAAGAGGAACACAUGUGUACUUAGUUUCAAGUUGAUUGGAUUUCAACUUCAUCAAAAACUACCUCGACCAUACACUUUUUAACCAGAAGCAGGACGGACGGACAGACUAGAAAACAUAUUGCCCAUAAAUGGAGCAUAAAAAUUGUAAGACUUGUUACAUACCUGCCAACUUUUGAAAGUUCCCAUAUGGGUUUUUACUGCACAAC
This 478-nucleotide long non-coding RNA is filed under the name Mytilus galloprovincialis (Mediterranean mussel). Lineage: Eukaryota; Metazoa; Mollusca; Bivalvia; Mytilida; Mytilidae. The record is from RNAcentral.